AUGCUUCGUAUGAGAGCAAAUGACUCUAAUUCAUCCACGCCUACGAAUUGGUCGGCAUUUUGUACAAUUUUUACAAAUGAAAGCUCUUAUUUUCAUAUUUUUGUAUCUUUCUUAAACUAUGAAUCUAAUCUUUUGAAAAAAAAGUCUCUUCGGUAG
This 156-nucleotide ribosomal RNA is filed under the name Triticum aestivum (bread wheat). Its description in RNAcentral is "partial small subunit ribosomal RNA". The record is from RNAcentral. Lineage: Eukaryota; Viridiplantae; Streptophyta; Magnoliopsida; Poales; Poaceae.